GUUAUCCUCAGUGAAAGCCCUGAAUCUUAAGUGCAGGUGGCAGCGCUGUAUUUAUUGAGGAAACCUCAAACUUUGGCAUUGUAACUGAACAUGUACCAGCAGGUGUGUACCAUCUGAGUGUAUGAGGCUCUAAAAGUGGCAUGAAAAGAACUCCUGCAGGUUUUUUUAUACCUCAUCUCCCAUCACUCCCUCACCAGUCACCUCUCUGCUAUGCCACGGUCGUUCCUUGUCAAGACUAAAAGGUCUCAUCUAGUUGGCCCAUCGAAGAAUUCCUUUGGGCAGCACUGCCGGUCUCGAACAGAUGAAGCCCAGCCUGUGCAGCAUGUGAUGGGACAGGACAGGAGGCAUCCCACUGAUGCUGUGAAUCCUUUGCCUUCGCCAUUUGGGGUCAAAGACCUUCUGGCUGAAACCUACUCGCCAUGGGAUGGGAUAACUGUCCAGUUUAAAGGGGGCGCCGCAGCCACAGAUGAUCCUUGGACUCCAGCAAAAGCCUUUGUGGCGAACAGGGCUGCCCAUGUGCCUGUCCUGGCAUGGUCAUCAGGCGGACAUCAGGCAUCUGAAAGAGAGAGGGAACUGGAGAGACUGGUCUUCAUGCUGCUCAACCACACAUUGCACACUGACCUAAAAACCCCAGUCAGCCAGUGUCCUCUCUGUGAAAAGUCUCUUUCUGAAGCCCUGCUAUCAGGUGGCCUGCAGACUCAUGUCCUGAAUCCACUGGCAAGAUCACCCUCUGCCCCAAACGUGCCCCACAUACCCUUCGGCUUCAAGGCGGUUGGUAGCUAUGGUCGCACAAAGGUAUAGUGGAUGGUGAGGAUGUUUCUGUGAGCGAAAUCAUUUAGAGUGCAAAGAAAUACUCCUCAUCUUUUUGUGUGUUUGCCCGUGUCUCGUAUUUUCAGGAACGUAGCUUUGGCUGCAAAGUGUGUGGAAAGGAGUUCAAGCGCUCGUCCACCCUGUCCACACACCUCCUCAUCCACUCAGACACAAGACCCUACCCUUGCCAGUACUGCGGCAAACGGUUCCACCAGAAAUCAGACAUGAAGAAGCACACUUUCAUACACACAGGUAGGUCAUCACAGCAGAGAACUGUACUGUUUAAAGUCCAAAGCCCUUCUUUCAAACACUGAGAACUUCUUCGCUCUGGACCAUCCUCAGGCGAGAAACCGCAUGUAUGCAAGGUGUGUGGUAAAGGAUUCAGCCAAAGCUCCAACCUCAUCACACACAGCCGAAAGCACAGCAGUUAUCAGCCGUUCAGCUGCCCCCACUGUCAGCGCACCUUCCGGUGCAGGGUUGACUUACAGCACCACCAAGAGACACAGUGCAGAUAUGGAAACAUGUACACUCAAAACUGAGGCCCUGAAGCAAGCAAGUGAUAGCAAAGCUCAGUCAAAUUGAAUUUGUAAAUAAUCCUAAUACAUUUGAAAUUAAAAAUAUAAACCAUGCAUGUGUGAUAAUGUUCAAUAAAACUGCUUGAAAAAUACAAUUCAUGCUCUUUCAUUUUGAAAAACGAUCACAGAUCCCUCAGGAAACUCAUCACAAAAACUCAUUCACUUACAUAAUUGAGUUAUUACUCCAGUGUGCACUGGGCAGCAGCGUAAAGUCAACCAGUGUUAUUUUCAGAAACUCUUUUCUGAGAUGGAUGAGUUUGAUCGUGUGUGUGUGUGUGUGUGUGUGUGUGUGUGUGUGUGUAUGAGUUCACUUUAGCUUGUUUCAGAGAUCCAAUCCAAUCCAAUACAUGAUCUAGGAUGUACUUUCACUGCUUGCAUCUAAAAGGAGACUUAUUUUGACAAUGUAUUGAAAUGAUUUUGGAGUCAGUCUCAGCUGACACUAUGGACGGCCGGAG
Long non-coding RNA from Echeneis naucrates (live sharksucker), 1840 nucleotides. The record is from Ensembl. NCBI's taxonomy places the organism in Eukaryota, Metazoa, Chordata, Actinopteri, Carangiformes, Echeneidae.